AACAAGGCGUACCUGCGGACCUGCGGAGGGAUCAUUAAUAAAUGUUACUUCGGUAACUUAAUUAAUCCCUAACACCUGUGCAUCUUGUCGCUUCGGCGUCAUUUUAUAAACAUCAGUGUAAUGAAUGUAACGUAUUAUAACAAAUACAACUUUCAACAACGGAUCU
Molecule: unclassified non-coding RNA, 166 nt
Filed under: soil metagenome
Description: partial contains 5.8S ribosomal RNA, internal transcribed spacer 2, and large subunit ribosomal RNA
Source: RNAcentral